GUAGGGAAUAUUGGGCAAUGGAGGCAACUCUGACCCAGCCAUGCCGCGUGCAGGAUGACGGCCCUCUGGGUUGUAAACUGCUUUUAUACGGGAAGAAAAAAUACUACGUGUAGUAUACUGACGGUACCGUAAGAAUAAGGAUCGGCUAACUCCGUGCCAGCAGCCGCGGUAAUACGGAGGAUCCAAGCGUUGUCCGGAUUUAUUGGGUUUAAAGGGUGCGUAGGCGGAUCUUUAAGUCAGUGGUGAAAGCCUGCAGCUUAACUGUAGAAUUGGCAUUGAAACUGAAGAUCUUGAAUGUGGUUAAAGUAGGCGGAAUGUAUCAUGUAGCGGUGAAAUGCUUAGAUAUGAUACAGAACACCGAUAGCGAAGGCAGCUUGCUGAACCAUUAUUGACGCUGAGGCACGAAAGCGUGGGGAGCGAACAGGAUUAGAAACCCGAGUAGUCC
This 445-nucleotide ribosomal RNA is filed under the name uncultured bacterium. Its description in RNAcentral is "partial 16S ribosomal RNA". It matches the Rfam family "Bacterial small subunit ribosomal RNA", at positions 354 to 796 of the family's 1533-position model. The record is from RNAcentral.